This 4634-nucleotide long non-coding RNA is filed under the name Homo sapiens (human). RNAcentral describes it as "HSALNT0366111". Lineage: Eukaryota; Metazoa; Chordata; Mammalia; Primates; Hominidae. The record is from RNAcentral.
UGAGGAUCGUUGCCACUGGCAACGACAAGCCCAGGCCUGCCCUCUGCAUCCCGUUUCUUUCUCCAAGAGCUGUUUUUCUACGCGCUCGAGCCUUUGAGCUGUGUGUGCGGGAGAAAAAGAUGUUAAGAAAGAGGAAGUAGAGGUCGGGCACGGUGGCUCACGCCUGUAAUCUCAGCACUUUGGGAGGCCGAGAUGAGCGGAUCACCUGACGUCAGGAGUUCGAGACCAGCCUGGCCAACAUAGCAAAACCCUGUCUCUACUAAAAAUACAAAAAAAUUAGCUGGGCGUGGUGGCAGGCGUCUGUAAUCCCAGCUACUCGGGAGGCUGAGGCAGGAGAAUCACUUGAACCCGGGAGGCAGAUGUUGCAGGGAACCAAGAUUGCACCACUGCACUCCGGCCUGGGAGAUAAGAGCGAAACUGAGUCUCAAAAAAAAAAAAAAAAAAAAAGAAAGGGAAAAAGGAGGAAGUAGAAACUGCAGAAGACAAAUCUCUGUUUUAUUCUCAGUGUACCAUGGAAAGGACAAUGGAAGUUGCUGGCCAUGCCUCUGAAAACACAGGCAGCUCUGUGUCACAUUAUUGAGGAAGAUGAUAUUGGAUGUGGCUGAUUUCACAUACAGGAGCCUUGUCCUGGGACAUGGAGGAGUGUUGAGGGUGGUCACCAGAUUGCCUUUCCCAUUAACUAGGUGUGCACUAGCUGAUUCAUUAUCAUAGCGCUAAGGUCAUAGAGGGAUGACCCGAAUGAUUAUCUGCUUUGAGCAAAGAACCCACAGUUCUGGGCAAGUCACUUCACUUCUCUGUGUAAUAAAGAGAUUGAAUUAGAAGAGUGCUACGCAGCUACGGAUUCUGUGGUUCUCUAUUAAGCUACCUCGGUUCAUAUCAAAUGCGUAUCAAAUCUUUACAAACAUGUAGAAAAGCCCAGAAACAAUACUGAACAAUAUGUUUAGGGAAACAUCUCACAUUGAAAUUAGGUCAGGAAAGCAGCCCAUUAAAGACUUUUUAACGUUAAAUCAAAACUAAGGGCCGAAAAGCCUUUCUUCUUCCAUUUGUUGUGUUCCCUCAUGCUCGAAGGAAAGCUGUUGUUGUGGGGAGAAAGGAAUGUUUCCCCUUGCCAUCCUGUAGGUGGCUUCCUGCCAGGGUGGAUGGGCUCUCGCUGUAGAUUGCUAAUCCAGGUGAAAUGAGUAUUUCAAAUCACCUGUGAUGAUUUGCAUGGCAGUCUGUAAGAAGCAGUUGGGAAAGAGUGUCAGAGCCUCCUUGGUGGAAUGCAUUUGAAGAAUUUUGUAAUUACUUAUUGUUCUUACAACCUACUAUGUUACCUUUUCACCUUGUCAUUGAUUUUUCUCUUUUUAAACUGAUGUAUGAAGCCCCAAAGGUAAUUGAACUGCAAAAUAUUGUGCUAAACUAACCUUAAGUCCAAGAUGAGAGGCUUUGGAAAAAUACUUGGCUUGGUCAGGAGCUAGAACUCUAAUAGUGGGGACUAGGGGGUAGAGGGAUGAAGGGGAGGUAUAGUAUCUACUUCUAUAAUGCUGAGAUUUAAGAAUAUUUCCUUACCCGGUCCCUCAAGCCUAUCAUAAAUAUUCUAUAUUGGGUUGACAAAUUACAGCUCACAGGCUAAAUCUGGCCCUCUGCCUGUCGUGUAAAUAAAAUUUUGUUUGAACACAGCCAUGCUCACUGGAUUGUCUAUGGCUGUUUGCACCUUGCAACAGCAGAGUUGAGUAGUUGCAACAGAGACCAUGUGAUCUGCAAAGCCUAAAAUAUUUACUAUCUAGUCCUUUACAGAAAAAGGCUUUUGGCCUGUAUUAUUUAAACAAAUCCAUACGUGAGUUAUACUGAGGACUCUCUACAUGCUCAGUAGGCACCCAGUUUGUGCACAUUGUAAAUACACAAUAGAUUGGAAGCCCAGUUUCUAUUCUCAAGGAAUUUAAAAUCUAGUUGAGGAGACAAAGACUAGCAUACAUGAAAAAAUGUGAACAGUAAAAUACAGUGUAUAAUCAAGGGUUCAGCUGUGAUGUACAGGCAAGUACCAGAAUUUGGAGAAAAGGAAGGAGGAUCAGUGAGACCUCUAGUAGUUGGGGAAAGCAAUAUUUAGUAUAAAAAGUUCCAGGACACAAUAAGAGCUUGGAUGCUCCCUUGAGAUCCAUUGUAAUUGGAUGUGACCUGUAUUUCUACUCCAGUGUCAUUUAAAUCACUGUUAUUUUUGGCCUUGUGCUUAGAGGACACCUAAAUGACCAGAAAUAUUUCUGAGUGACUUUAGCUGACUGAUUUUUCUGGGAUUUGGGAUUCCUUCAAUCUCCCUAAACUACAGAAAAUUAAACCUAGCCAUAGUGGCAUAAUGUCUUUCUCUUUUGGAGACAAUACAGCAAAAUGAUUGCAAGCAUGAGCUCUGCAGUCAAAGAAACCCGUCUCAAUCUCCCUCUAGCUGUGUAAACUUGGGGAGACUCUAAAGCUCUGGGCCUCAGUUUCUUCAUCUAUAAAAUAGAGACAACAAUAGUGGUAACCUGCUAGCGUUACUGUGACAACUAGAUAAUAUAAUGCCUGUGACGUGUUUAGAAUAUAAAGUGCCUGCCUGGUAUGAAGCUAGGUCUCCAUGAGUGUUUAGUCAUUGGCCCUUGCUCCUGAGAAUAGCAAGAUUUAUAUCCUGCACAAAAGAGUCAUACUUAGUUCCAGAACAAAAAUUAGUACUUUAUCAUUUAUAAAGGCACUUAUAACAAAAUGUACUAAUGUAAAGCAAAGAAUUACUGCUCCUCAUUUUUUGGUUUACUAAUGGUUAUAAUUUUUAAUUUUUAACAAAUUGCCAUUGCCAGGCCCCUGAUUUAUUUCUGUGAUGUCCUUGGGGAUCUUGGGACCAGGAGCAUGAUGCAAAAAACACAGAUACAGAUCUCUGCUCUGAUACUAAUGCAGGAAUCUUGGGUGUUUUCAGGACCUGUUGUGACUGUCUUUGGAGGUAAGGCAGAGGGCAGUGGUACCAGCCUUGUGGGCUGGAAGGCAGCAUCUGUAGGUUCUCACCCAUUUCUGUGGGUAUGGAAGAAAUUACGUAGAAUCCAGACCAGUUUUUCUUAUCUCUAAUAAGGAGAUAAUGUUAUAACAUUUAUUUUUGUGCUUGUUGUGAGUAUUGCUGAAAGAGCUCUUAGAAACACUUUAAGUGUUUUGAUGUAAUCAUAAAAUAUGAGGCUUUAGAAGUAGGGUUUGAGCAUCCACAGAAGGCUCUGUUUUCUCUGUGGAUAAUGUCUGAUGAUAACAUUGUUUUCUGUUUUCCUUGAGGUAAUUUGAAGAUUAAAGGGAAGGGUGUUUUCCACAUUUCCUGUUGGUAAUAAAUAGCCCUCUCCCAGUGCUUUGACCUUCCCCUGCUGCUAUGGAGACUCCUAGGAGCAGUGACCAGGACUGCAGCCAGCCAGGCCCGUGUUAUUAACAGGGCUGGCUCCGUGGGCCUUCAGUAUUAGUGUAUUUAUAAACAACCCCAAACACUGAAACCACUGUUUGGUUUUGUUCGCUUUUAUUAAAAAUUAUAUGGACUUUAGAAGAAAACAACAAACUGUCAGAAAAAUAGGCAUCUUUUUUUUUUUUAACCCAAAUAAGCCUGUGUUUAGUCUAUAAUGGGAGAGUUCUUAUAAUAAGCAUAGCAACUCAUGGCUCAGCACUUUCCCAUGGAGUAGGUAGCAAGUAUUGCUUAUUCGCUUAUGAGAUAACCUUUACAUUUAAUCACUUGUCCAUUCAAUGAAUAUUUAUGAAGCUCUUACCAUGAGACAGGCACCGGGCUAGGAGCUGGGAAUAUUGCAGUGAACAAGACAGGCACAUUCCCUGCCUUCCUAGAACUUAGAGUCUCACGGGGAAAAUGGACACAUAAGCAGGUAAUCAAAAUAAAGUGCGUUGAGUGUGAAAAGUUUGGGAUGCUAUGGGAGCAUGGCAGAGGCCCAAGAGAGGCUCCAGUUUCUUUACAUGAAUUGCCAAGUGUAUCGACCUGAAGACACUGUACCUCCUGUCUUUGUGCCUAGACCAGGGUAGAAUGGUCCUAAGAGUUAGAGGCUGGUCUCAGUUAUUCUUGGACAUAAGACUUUUCUGGUUGGCUUGAGCUUUAGGCCUUACAGAGGAGCCAGAGACUUGUCUGGGUAGUGCCAUAGGUGUCAUGCUAAAGCCACCUUGUCCCCACUGGCCUUGGAGCUAGUCAGACUCAGAGCCUCCCAAGAGCACUGGGAAUGGGAGCAAUCCCUUCCUGCUCACGGACUGGCAGGUCUUGGCCCAGGGAUUCACCUAUGCAAAUAGUAUAUCCUUGAGCCACCAGUAGUUUUUACCUGCUCAGCUUUCUCCUGUUCUCCUUCUUGGAGUUUCCUUUCCCAAGAAAACAGACUGGAUCUUCUGCUUCUCCAAACCCAUCCCUCUGAGGCAGGGCUGAGAAGACCAUGUUGCUCUAUGAAAGGGCUAGUUUACCAGUCAGGGGACUCUGCUUCUGUACUCUCUCUCCCUUUACCUGGUGCCGAAAGACCAUCCUCAAUUAGGGCUGACAAGGGGCACCCGUUGGGCUACAUUUAUCCUCCUUAUUCUUAAGAAGCUACAGCUUUUACUUGCUGUACAGCAUCUAACAAAAUAAGACUGUGUUAGCUUAUCCCAGCCCCAAGUUUUCUGUAGUGGAGGCUGAAAAC